RNAcentral lists this ribosomal RNA (465 nucleotides) under Vreelandella stevensii. Its description in RNAcentral is "partial 16S ribosomal RNA". It matches the Rfam family "Bacterial small subunit ribosomal RNA", at positions 338 to 795 of the family's 1533-position model. The record is from RNAcentral. Lineage: Bacteria; Pseudomonadati; Pseudomonadota; Gammaproteobacteria; Oceanospirillales; Halomonadaceae.
CCUACGGGAUGCUGCAGUGGGGAAUAUUGGACAAUGGGCGAAAGCCUGAUCCAGCCAUGCCGCGUGUGUGAAGAAGGCCUUCGGGUUGUAAAGCACUUUCAGUGGGGAAGAAAGCCUUGGGGCUAAUACCCUCGAGGAAGGACAUCACCCACAGAAGAAGCACCGGCUAACUCCGUGCCAGCAGCCGCGGUAAUACGGAGGGUGCGAGCGUUAAUCGGAAUUACUGGGCGUAAAGCGCGCGUAGGCGGUCUGAUAAGCCGGUUGUGAAAGCCCCGGGCUCAACCUGGGAACGGCAUCCGGAACUGUCAGGCUAGAGUGCAGGAGAGGAAGGUAGAAUUCCCGGUGUAGCGGUGAAAUGCGUAGAGAUCGGGGGGAAUACCAGUGGCGAAGGCGGCCUUCUGGACUGACACUGACGCUGAGGUGCGAAAGCGUGGGUAGCAAACAGGAUUAGAUACCCUGGUAGUC